CUUCUUCAUUUGCUCUUUUUUGUCUCCCUGCUGCUCAACCCGGACUGCAUCUCACCUCAGUGUUAUGGGCCAGUGGUUACUGGAACACAGCAUCCAGGAACACAGUUCUAGGGACCUUCCUUUUCCACUCCUCUGCAUCAGGAAAGCAGAUUUUGAGCAUCAUCCCUGUCUGUUGGCCUCUACAUACAAGAUGCAUCUCCAGGUGGGACAUGUGCCUCGUUUCUAUUUUCAUUAUUCCCUAUUUAUCAAGUUUGGCACCUUGUCUUUCUUGGAAUUAAAUGAUUUGAAAGUUUCUUUAGUCAUUUACAGACACAAGAGCACAUUUCACUUUGCUGUAUUUUCUACCAUAGCAGCACUAUAUUCUGGCAAAACUAGGGCAUCUUGGGAUCUAAUUUUGUAUUUCUCAAUACCCAGAUGAGUACUGUAGAUUAUAUUCAAAUCUAAACCCAUAUGAUAUAGCUAGAUAUGCAUAUCAUAGCAUAGAUAUGAUAUGAUAUAUAUGAUUCCUUUUUUCAAAAUCCCAUUAUAAACUAGUUAUCUCUACUGAUUUCAUUUGACUAGCCCCUGUAAAAAUCUAUCCUUUGCAAAUUUGUUUUUUUUCUUCUGUUGAUCAAUCUACAUAGAAAUCUGUCACAUUAACUUCAUAUCAAAAAAACCAUGUCAAAAAAACCAUGCAUAUCUAAUUCCUAUUUAUUUUACAGUCUUAUCCCUUCAGUUUCUUUGCUACUGCUUUUAGGGACUCUUGAAAGUACAAACUCCAUUAAAAAUGUUUUGUCAGUAUCCUGAAACAUGCAAAUUCCAUUCUAGUUUCUGAAGUGGGGUAUACAGUAACUGAAGUGUAGAAAGCACUCUGCAACAACUCUCCAUCAAAUUCAGCUUGUUGCUUUUACAAAAUAACCACCAGUGCAGGAAACUAGAGUGUGAUCCUCAGUGUCUAAAGCUUCUGUGAGCUUUGACUUAACUGUUGUUUAAACAUUUUUGAUACAAUGUAAUAUCAUUUUUAAGCAUGAAACUGGUAAUUAUAUUUAUUUCUAUAGAUAUUAGAAAGAAACAUCUUUAUCAGGUGGGAGCCAAUGCACAAAUAUACCAUAAAUUCCUGUCAUUAAAGGCUAGCUGUGCCAGGCAUCUAUUAGUUUGCUCUGAUGACAGACCUUUUGUAAAAGGUUUAAGAAAUGCAAAUGUUUUAGAUUAUUUUUGCUGUUGUUUUAAUGAUACAGCACAAUUUAUAUCGUGUACCUAAACAAGAAUUGUGAAUAAUGACAUAUUAGUAUUUGAGAAAACUUGGUGUGCAAUAUCAUGAUGGACUAACUUAGCUUAUCUUUGAUUCACAAACAAUAGAGAAAAGAAACAAAUACUGACAGUGAAUGAUAGCAGAGUAACAAGAGAACCCGGCUCAAAGCUGACACUUCCCACUAAGACAAGCACCACGUCAAACUACAACUGUUGGACUGGCACAAAGUGCAGGCAGCAUAGAGAUGAAGGCAUGAGGAUUACAAAUUGUUAUGUAAAUACUGUUAUGUAAAUAUUUCUUUAGAGGAACAUUCUGGGCACUAAAAACUGCAAGGAAAAUGACAGAUGAAAAAUGCUCCCUCAGUCAUGCAGCAGAGAACACAUCUGGGGUUAAACAUAACUGUUGUGACAGCAAACAAAAACAAAAACAACAAACAACCAAAUAAAGCAUAGAAAUUCAUCUUUAUCACUUAGGGAAAAUAGAUUAAAUAGAGAUAAGACAUACAAAAUGAUGAGUAAGUACUGUGAGUUGGUACAGAUAAAAGCAUGACAUGAGACAUGACAAGCUGAGAAAGUGGUCUCUAGAAAUUAGAUAUUGCUUUAAAAUAAAGCAUAUUUAAAGUUCACAGUAUUUUUUUGUGCCAUGUUUUGGCAGUGGGGGAGAAAGAUAACUACUUGCUAGCCUAAGGAUAAGUCUGUUCUAAGUCUGGAUUUCCUUUACUAUUAAACUAGGAAUUUGGGUAAUGGGACUACCCUGAAGCAUCUAGAUAAACUCUAAUUCCUGAUAAGAGGUAGGAGUGGAAAAAAAAAUAAAUGCUUUCAGUACCCGAGAGUAGGAAACAAAAAGAUGUCAUCUGUUUUGUUUCUCAUUUACCUAAGUGGAUAUUCAAGAAAUGACUAGAACUGGCUGGAAAUAUCUUGUUAUUUUUUGUGGGAAAGGGGCAGAAAAUAAAGCUGGGAAAAUGUACAUAUUGUAAACAUCUGUCAAUUUUCAAUUGAAAAACAUCAAAUGUAGCUAAUUUAUUACAUGCUUAUUCUACAUCUCAGUUAUUGCAGUACUAACGUAUAUUCUCAUUAAUUACCUUUGCAGUUAAUUUGGCUUCUGACAAAACUCUUUGUCUGAUCUGGAUUUUGUGAUUGGAUUGCAACAAUGAGGGCAGCUCCAAAAGUAAUGCCUCCUAUUUUAUUAUGGUGGCCCAUGAUGUCAGAGGCAAAUGUUGGUGUUGUGACAGUAAAGGGGCAGUCCGACAAAAUGGUGUCCAACACAGAAGUGUGGAUGAAGGAAAAGUAUGGAACUGAAUUCCUCCAUGAAGAAAAACCCACCCACUAAUACUCAUUGACACUUGCCAAAUGUUUGUGGAGACCAAACAGUGGAUGUGAGCACAGUGAAGUGUACAUUUCAGCAAUGGUGACAGUGAUGUGAAAGACAAGAUGUGUUCCAAACGGCUGCACAGAUUUUUAAUCAUUGGAGAAAACACAUAGCUAAUGGUGGAGGCAUUACUUUUGGAGGAACCUACAUAUGUCACUCCUGUGUGAGCUGGGUUUUUGGAUAAACUAGUCUGAGAGGGCCAUAAAAAAAUGAAAGCAUAACUUUCAAAAACAUAACUAACAGAGUGACAGCCUUGGUGGCCAUAGCUGAACAACAAACAAAAUAUUUUGAAUCAAAACUGCAACUCAACGUGAUAUGUUGUUUAUUACACUACAGCUCAAGCAAGUUAUUUAAACAUUUCCAAAUCCCUCCCUUAUUUUUCAUUUGCUUCAAUAAAAGGUCAAUAUCUUACUUAUUUUGAGGUGAUGAGAAAUAUUUUUAAACAUUACGAUAUUAAAUGCAUAAUAUCAUAAUUUCUAGUGGGAUGAAAAUCUCAGUUUUACCAGCUGCUAAUGGCCUCUGGAGAGAUUCACGCUGAUGAGAUUUGUGAUGUCAAACAGCUGUAGACAAAAAUAUGAGAAACAGUUGACACUAAUUAAAUAAUACAGAUGUAUAUCUACAAAUUUGAGACAAGCACAAAAUCAUCAUUGUAUUCUCUUGUACAAUUUCUAUGUGAUAUAAAAUGCUAUUUAAUUAUCAUACUUCUAAGUGCAAAUAGAAACAUACUAAUCUGCAGAUUUAUAUGUCAGACAGCAAAGAAUGAAAACAACACAAUAUUUAAUUAGCAAGAAACUUCUGAAGCUUUUUUUUUAAUGUGAAAUCCAUAACUGCAAAAAAGGUUAUUUAUUGAGUUCACCCAGUAAUUUAAGGUGAACACUCACAGAAAUGACACAAUUAUAGCCUCUUUUCUUGUGUAUGAAUUAUCUAUCUCUAAGCAAGCUGUGAAAUUUCAGUUUACCUGUAAUUAAACAUAUUUUCUGAACAAUUCUAAAUCUGCAGUUUAUUUGCAAAAGCUUUAUAUACAAAUUGAAUAUUCAAAAUUCAAGCUGCUUGAUUAAGUCAGUAGGCACAUAAUAUGUUUCUAUCUCAGAAGCUUGGUUUUCAUAUCAAAAAUCUGAUAUGAAUCAUUCAGAAUUUGCUUUUUGCAAAUACUCUUCAAUAAUACACUCAAAGUUCAUCAAACCUUAUUGUUAGUACCUCCACUCAAUAGAAUAAUUACAGAAAGCAAACAAUAUCCAGCCAAAAUUACUAAAAUGUCUAUGUACCUUUCCAGUGGAGGGAAAUCUGAUUGACAAAAUGAAUUUAAUAGCAUAAAAGAACAAACUAUAUUUGCUCACUGAAUUUUUGAAGGAAGAAUGAUCUUAACAUAUCUGCAAUACAUGUAAAUCCCCUCCACAUAUAUGAGUAACUUAUAUUGCUACUCCUACAUAUUUUUCUUAGAAAACUUGUCAUUUAUCUGAAUUUUAAAUAUGAAGUGAAAGUAUAUUUACUUGUGGAGGCUGGAUGUAUUAGAUUUUCUGAAUCAUUUUUAACCUUAGUUUGGAAGAUAUAUUUCUCAGCUGCUAAGCUACACGUUAAUAGGGGAAGCUGCUUACCUAAGCUCUUUUUCAGUGCUACAGAGAAUACUAAAAGAACAAUUAAACCAUUGCUUUGAUGGGAUACAGAUGCAUACAGAUAAUAAAUAUAAGGAGUUUAUUCUCAUGUCUUCAUUGUCUUACUUUCUUUCCUUUUAUUGGUAGCUUUAUAGAUCUAGAAAAGCCACAAAAGCUCAGUGCGAACUUAAAGGUGUGACCUCUGGUAUUUUAAUAUUCGUGUAUUGUGUAUCAAGGCAUCAUUUACAUAAGAUAAUGAAGUAGAGAUGGGCAGAAAAUGUACGCCUGAAAGACUUUCUAUAAAAAAAAAGGAUGAACACGUAGUUCUUUGCACAAAGCAUUAGAAAAUACUGUGAUAUUUAUUAUUAAAAAUGCUGCUGAAAAGUUUAUACAUAUGUGUCCAGCCAUAUAUAUCUUCUAUCAUUACUUAAGGCAAAAAAACAAAAGAUCGCAAAACAAUAACAGAAGAAACCAUUAAACCCUGCGUGCCUCGUAAGGUCAAGAAUAUAAGCCUGGGAAAGUACUUUUGUUUUUCUUUUACAGUUUUCAAAGUAUAUUUUGUUAUUAUUAUUAUAGAAUUCUAAUAAGACCCUAUAAAUCUGUUCCCUCUAUAAAUCAUAUGUCAGUCCAGAUGUACUGAAUUAUUAAAUCAACUUGAUUGCAAUUACUUUUAAAAGCUAAAAUCAUUCACUUACAGGAACUUUUUUUUUUUAAACCCAAAUGUCACAAGCCUGACACAGUACUGUACAUAUUGCUAGCAGAAGACAAUUGGAAGUACUAAACAAAUACUGUAAUUCACAUUACAAACAUACCCAACUGAUUAUGAUGCCAAGCAUCAAUACCUUUUUUCUUUUUUCUUUUUUUUUUUAACUAUUUUCUUUUUUUUUUCUUUUUUUUUUCUUUUUUUUAAUUAUUAUUUUAAGAGAUAUGAACUGCUUCAUCUCAGCUGAGGCAUCACAUAAGUGGUGGAAAUGGUCUGGUCUAGAGUAAGCAUUAAUCAAUAUUAUGUGAUGGAUCAGUGAAAAAGGCAGUUUUCCAUUUGCUACGACUUGUACUUUGGGCUUGUUGCUUCAUCGUAUUCCAACCUGAGCAUCCAGGUCAGGUAAUAGUACAUUUAUUACAGGUAAGGGAUUAUAUCAGCCACAUGUUGUAUUUUUUGUCAAAUAAUUAACUUUCCUUUUAUUUCUUUCCUUCAGAAUCUGCUUUACUGCAUGCUAUAACAAGGAGUUGGAUUGACUUCAGUGAAUCAUUUUGUCACCUUUAUUCACCAGAAGGACUAUUCCAAGAUGUCUUAUUAAAAAAAAAAAAAAAAAAAGAAGAAGUAUUGAAAACAAAAA
This is a long non-coding RNA of Lagopus muta (rock ptarmigan), 5528 nucleotides long. RefSeq lists it as uncharacterized. The transcript is spliced from 2 exons. The record is from RefSeq and is a predicted model, not a curated record. Lineage: Eukaryota; Metazoa; Chordata; Aves; Galliformes; Phasianidae.